This 576-nucleotide ribosomal RNA is filed under the name Clostridioides difficile. RNAcentral's name for it is "partial 23S ribosomal RNA". It matches the Rfam family "Bacterial large subunit ribosomal RNA", at positions 683 to 1266 of the family's 2925-position model. Lineage: Bacteria; Bacillati; Bacillota; Clostridia; Peptostreptococcales; Peptostreptococcaceae. The record is from RNAcentral.
UUUAACUGAGCGUUCAGUUACUUGACGUAGACCCGAAACCGGGCGACCUACCCAUGAGCAGGAUGAAGCGAAAGUAAAAUUUCGUGGAGGUCCGAACCCACGAGCGUUGAAAAGCUCGGGGAUGACUUGUGGGUAGCGGUGAAAUUCCAAUCGAGCCCGGAGAUAGCUGGUUCUCCCCGAAAUAGCUUUAGGGCUAGCCUCAAGGUGAGAGAUACGGAGGUAGAGCACUGAAUGUCCUAGGGGGUAUUGCACCUACCGAAGACUAUCAAACUCCGAAUGCCGUCAUCUUAUACUUGGGAGUCAGACUGUGGGUGAUAAGAUUCAUAGUCGAAAGGGCAACAGCCCAGAUCGUCAGCUAAGGUCCCUAAAUGUAAGUUAAGUGGUAAAGGAUGUGGGAUUGCACAGACAACCAGGAUGUUGGCUUAGAAGCAGCCACUCAUUCAAAGAGUGCGUAAUAGCUCACUGGUCGAGUGAUCCUGCGCCGAAGAUUUCCGGGGCUAAAACUUACUACCGAAGCUACGGCAUCAGUAAUGAUGGGUAGGGGAGCUUCCCAUACGGGUUGAAGCAUGACCGUAA